UUGGAGGGCAGUCUGGUGCCAGCAGCCGCGGUAUUCCAGCUCCAAUAGCGUAUAUUAAAGUUGUUGCAGUUAAAAAGCUCGUAGUUGAUUUCGGGAUCAGAUUGUCGGUCGUGCCUCGGUACGCACUGGUAUUAUUGGUUCCUACCUUCUGAAGAACCGCGAUGUCAUUAAUUUGGUGUCGUGGGGAAUCAGGACUGUUACUUUGAAAAAAUUAGAGUGUUUAAAGCAGGCUUACGCUUGAAUACAUUAGCAUGGAAUAAUGAAAUAGGACGUUUGAUUCUAUUUUGUUGGUUUCUAGGAUUGACGUAAUGAUUAAUAGGGAUAGUUGGGGGCAUUAGUAUUCAAUUGUCAGAGGUGAAAUUCUUGGAUUUAUUGAAGACUAACUACUGCGAAAGCAUUUGCCAAGGAUGUUUUCAUUAAUCAGGAACGAAAGUUAGGGGAUCGAAGACGAUCAGAUACCGUCGUAGUCUUAACCAUAAACUAUGCCGACUAGGGAUCGGAUGAUGUUAAUUUUUUAAUGACUCAUUCGGCGCCUUACGGGAAAC
RNAcentral lists this ribosomal RNA (545 nucleotides) under uncultured Glomeromycotina. Its description in RNAcentral is "SSU rRNA". It matches the Rfam family "Eukaryotic small subunit ribosomal RNA", at positions 548 to 1098 of the family's 1831-position model. Lineage: Eukaryota; Fungi; Glomeromycota. The record is from RNAcentral.